GCGAGCUGUCAGCACAAUGUCGGCGGAGAUGGCCUCGCCCGUCUUCGCGUUCGUGACACGUCCGAACACCUUGAUCGUGUUGGGU
RNAcentral lists this unclassified non-coding RNA (85 nucleotides) under plant metagenome. RNAcentral's name for it is "partial contains 5.8S ribosomal RNA, internal transcribed spacer 2, and large subunit ribosomal RNA". The record is from RNAcentral.